Molecule: small nuclear RNA, 18 nt
Filed under: Arabidopsis thaliana (thale cress)
Lineage: Eukaryota; Viridiplantae; Streptophyta; Magnoliopsida; Brassicales; Brassicaceae
Description: snRNA_11309
Source: RNAcentral
UAACUGUUUGGAGCAGUC